Molecule: long non-coding RNA, 489 nt
Organism: Scylla paramamosain (green mud crab)
Lineage: Eukaryota; Metazoa; Arthropoda; Malacostraca; Decapoda; Portunidae
Exons: 3
Source: RefSeq, a predicted model, not a curated record
GUUGUCUCUCUGGCCAACAUUCAAGUACCAAUCUUGCUGGGAGAGGUGGUGAAUGUGGUGGCCAGGUUUACCAGCGAGGCAGCAAGGGAGGGAAGGAGUUUCCCCCAGGAAAUUGCUGCCCCUGUGCUCAAACUAGUAAAGUAUUAUUUCAUUCAGGCUGCCUUCACCCUCUCCUACAUUUCCUUCCUGACACGCAUGGGAGAGCGGAUUGCAGAUGACCUUCGGAAGCAGCUGUUUGCCACACUCCUCAAGCAGGACAUGGCCUUUUAUGACCAACACAAAACUGGUGAACUAGUCAACAGACUGACUGCAGAUGUACAGGACUUCAAGAGUUCCUUUAAACUUUGCAUAUCACAAGGAAUGCGCAGUGUUACUCAGGUGAGUGAAGUUACAUGACAGAUGUCUUAUGAGUACAUAAAGAUCUGACCGUUUAUUUCUUAUAUUUUGAUAUUUCUUCCUCCUCUUCCUUCUCUCCCUCAUCCUAAAGGU